GGCAGUGGUGGCUGAACGGUUAAGGCUUUGGGUUACUGGUCAGAAGGUCAGGGGUUCAAGCCCUAGCACUGUCA
Pangasius djambal is the source of this 74-nucleotide non-coding RNA. The record is from the annotation of a GenBank genome assembly. NCBI's taxonomy places the organism in Eukaryota, Metazoa, Chordata, Actinopteri, Siluriformes, Pangasiidae.